Molecule: ribosomal RNA, 253 nt
Filed under: uncultured bacterium
Lineage: Bacteria
Description: partial 16S ribosomal RNA
Rfam family: Bacterial small subunit ribosomal RNA
Source: RNAcentral
UACGUAGGGUGCUAGCGUUGUUCGGAAUCAUUGGGCGUAAAGCGCGUGUAGGCGGUUAGUUAAGUCAGAUGUGAAAUCCCUGGGCUCAACCGAGGAAGUGCAUUUGAAACUAAUUAGCUAGAAGACGGUAGAGGAAGGUGGAAUUCCAAGUGUAGAGGUGAAAUUCGUAGAUAUUUGGAGGAAUACCGGUGGCGAAGGCGGCCUUCUGGCCCGAUACUGACGCUGAGGCACGAAAGCGUGGGGAGCAAACAGG